GCAAGUCGAACGAAGUCCUUCGGGACUUAGUGGCGCACGGGUGAGUAAUGCAUAAGUCACCUACCCAGAAGUGGGGGAUAACUACGGGAAACCGUAGCUAAUACCGCAUGUGUACGUAAGUACAAAGGGGGCUUCGGCUCUCGCUUUUGGAUGGGCUCAUGUCCCAUUAGUUUGUUGGUGAGGUAACGGCUCACCAAGACGAAGAUGGGUAGCUGGUCUGAGAGGAUGAUC
RNAcentral lists this ribosomal RNA (231 nucleotides) under uncultured bacterium. RNAcentral describes it as "partial 16S ribosomal RNA". It matches the Rfam family "Bacterial small subunit ribosomal RNA", at positions 57 to 305 of the family's 1533-position model. The record is from RNAcentral.